This is a long non-coding RNA of Tympanuchus pallidicinctus (lesser prairie-chicken), 379 nucleotides long. RefSeq lists it as uncharacterized. The record is from RefSeq and is a predicted model, not a curated record. The transcript has 2 exons. Lineage: Eukaryota; Metazoa; Chordata; Aves; Galliformes; Phasianidae.
GUCUCCGUCAUCUGGUGCCGAAACCCGGGAUACUCGGACUCCAAUGACAAAGGCGUCGCUUCCUCCCACGAGCCGCGGUUGUAGCCCUCAGCCUUGUCUGGUGAAAAACUCUCUCAUGUAUGCAACCAUCUUUUGCAUUGUUUUAGCGUUAUGGGAACAAUGAAAUCAUUAAAAACCGAUAACGGGCCAGCUUAUGUAAGUAACGGUUUUGCAACCUUUUGUCGACAUUUUAAAAUUUACCAUAAAACUGGAAUUCCAUAAUCCAGAAGGCCAAGGCAUAGUAGAAAAAUUUAAUCAUUUAUUGAAAACUCAACUAAAGAAAAUAAAAAGAGGGACAUGAGGAAAUAAAGAUACUCCAUCCUCUAUGUUAUCACAUGCA